CAGUAGCCGCGGGAAUACGUAGGGUGCAAGCGUUAAUCGGAAUUACUGGGCGUAAAGCGUGCGCAGGCGGUCCGCUAAGACAGAUGUGAAAUCCCCGGGCUUAACCUGGGAACUGCAUUUGUGACUGGCGGGCUAGAGUAUGGCAGAGGGGGGUAGAAUUCCACGUGUAGCAGUGAAAUGCGUAGAGAUGUGGAGGAAUACCGAUGGCGAAGGCAGCCCCCUGGGCCAAUACUGACGCUCAUGCACGAAAGCGUGGGGAGCAAACAGGAUUAGAUACCCGAGUAGUCCCUGUCUCUUAUAA
RNAcentral lists this ribosomal RNA (301 nucleotides) under uncultured bacterium. Its description in RNAcentral is "partial 16S ribosomal RNA". It matches the Rfam family "Bacterial small subunit ribosomal RNA", at positions 509 to 809 of the family's 1533-position model. The record is from RNAcentral.